AUAUUCUCAACUCCGUUCGGUUUGCCGUCGGGGCUUGGACUUGGGGUGUGCUGGCGCGAGUCGGCUCCCCUUCAAAUGCAUCAGUGGAACCUUAACCCGGUCUCGCCGUCAUCAGCGUGAUAACGCAAAGUUGCGCUGUUGAUGAGCCGGGGGUCUCGCUUACAAUGGUCUUCGGACAGCUUUGAACC
Molecule: unclassified non-coding RNA, 188 nt
Filed under: uncultured Atheliales
Lineage: Eukaryota; Fungi; Basidiomycota; Agaricomycetes; Atheliales
Description: sequence contains ITS2
Source: RNAcentral